This 440-nucleotide ribosomal RNA is filed under the name uncultured bacterium. RNAcentral's name for it is "bacterial SSU rRNA". It matches the Rfam family "Bacterial small subunit ribosomal RNA", at positions 338 to 795 of the family's 1533-position model. The record is from RNAcentral.
CCUACGGGAUGCAGCAGUGGGGAAUAUUGGACAAUGGGCGAAAGCCUGAUCCAGCAAUGCCGCGUGUGUGAAGAAGGUCUUCGGAUUGUAAAGCACUUUCGACGGGGACGAUAAUGACGGUACCCGUAGAAGAAGCCCCGGCUAACUUCGUGCCAGCAGCCGCGGUAAUACGAAGGGGGCUAGCGUUGCUCGGAAUGACUGGGCGUAAAGGGCGCGUAGGCGGUUUAUGCAGUCAGAUGUGAAAUCCCCGGGCUUAACCUGGGAACUGCAUUUGAGACGCAUAGACUAGAGGUCGAGAGAGGGUUGUGGAAUUCCCAGUGUAGAGGUGAAAUUCGUAGAUAUUGGGAAGAACACCGGUGGCGAAGGCGGCAACCUGGCUCGAUACUGACGCUGAGGCGCGAAAGCGUGGGGAGCAAACAGGAUUAGAUACCCUCGUAGUC